Molecule: ribosomal RNA, 495 nt
Filed under: uncultured bacterium
Lineage: Bacteria
Description: partial 16S ribosomal RNA
Rfam family: Bacterial small subunit ribosomal RNA
Source: RNAcentral
GACGAACGCUGGCGGCGUGCCUAAUACAUGCAAGUAGAACGCUGAAGGAGGAGCUUGCUUCUCUGGAUGAGUUGCGAACGGGUGAGUAACGCGUAGGUAACCUGCCUGGUAGCGGGGGAUAACUAUUGGAAACGAUAGCUAAUACCGCAUAAUAUUGACUAUUGCAUGAUAGUCAGUUGAAAGGUGCAACUGCACCACUACUAGAUGGACCUGCGUUGUAUUAGCUAGUUGGUGGGGUAACGGCUCACCAAGGCGACGAUACAUAGCCGACCUGAGAGGGUGAUCGGCCACACUGGGACUGAGACACGGCCCAGACUCCUACGGGAGGCAGCAGUAGGGAAUCUUCGGCAAUGGACGGAAGUCUGACCGAGCAACGCCGCGUGAGUGAAGAAGGGUUUCGGAUCGUAAAGCUCUGUUGUAAGAGAAGAACGAGUGUGAGAGUGGAAAGCUCACACUGUGACGGUAUCUGACCAGAAAGGGACGGCUAACUACGUG